RNAcentral lists this long non-coding RNA (4048 nucleotides) under Homo sapiens (human). RNAcentral's name for it is "HSALNT0076662". Lineage: Eukaryota; Metazoa; Chordata; Mammalia; Primates; Hominidae. The record is from RNAcentral.
GAAAAUUGUGUGACAUUGCAUUAAAAAGCUUUUAGACCGCUCUUUGGAUACAAAAUGCAGUUUUCGUGUAACUUUUCUCUCUCCAAGCUAGUGGAGAAUAAGGCAAUGAUGUUUGUACUUUAGGGCAGACUGGGAGUUAUUGUUACAGAAUCCAAAUCCAGCCAAGCAAGAAUUGGGUACAAGUUAUUCAUUUCAAUUGUGUCUUUUAUACUGUACUUUUUAAAAGAUUGAUGUUUCCUUUUACCAAGAAUUAGCUGCUAUUCAUAUAUUUUAUUCAAUUACAGUUAUUAUGUCCUGUUGAAUUUUUUUUCACUACUCCUACCACUGUCCUUUCAGUAUUCGCAAAAAAGCUCUUACAAUAUUCCAUUCUGUGAGAAGUUUCGACCAAAAAGUGAGUGUAACUCUGAUAACACUUAUUUAUAGAGCAGUUGGCUUUGAUGAACAAUGAACUGUUACUUGAUUUUACUCUUGGUUCAAGGACAUCCACAAGUGCUGUCAAAUUGAAAGCACACAAGUCACCUUCCUAAAGAGAAGUUUUCUCAUGCCGUUUGCAAUGGAUUCCUUUCCUCCUGUCUCUACACUCCAGCCCCAGGCAACCAACGAUCUGCUUUGUCACUGUGGAUUAGUUUGUUUGAUUUAGCAUUUUAUAUCAAAGAAAUCAUAGAGUCUGUAUCUUUUUUUGUCUUGCUUCUUUCACUCAGCAUAAUUAUUUUGAGAUUUAUUGUGUUGUAGCAUGAAUAAGUAGUUAAUUUAUAUCUACUGGUGUGAAGUAUUCUAUUGCAUGGAAACAACACAAUUUAUGUAUCUAUUCACACAUUGAUGUACUUGGCAAGUAAAGUUGCUAUGUGGUGUUAUAAUUUGCAUUUUCCUAGUGAAUAAUGAUGUUCAGCAUCUUUUCAUAGAUUAGUUGGUCAUCCAGCUACUUUGGGGAAGUAUCUGCUCAAAUAUUUUGAUUAUUUUAAAAAAUUGGAUUGUUUGAUUUUUAGUAAGUUUCAGUAAACAUUUGAGUUUUUAGAAUUGUUUAUGCAUUUGGUAUACAGGCCCUUUGUGAGAUAUGUGAUGUGCAAAUAUUUUCUCCCAGUCUGUGGCUUGUCUUUUCAUUCUCUUUCAAUGACUUUCAAAGUGUUAUUUUUAAUUGUAAUGAAGUCCAACUCAUUAAUUUUUUUGUUAUGGUUUGUGUUUUCAUUGACAUAUCAAUAAAAUCUUUGCCUAAUUUCAUGCCAUAAAGAUAUUUUUCCUGUAUUUUCUCCCUGAAGAUAUAUAGUAUUUUGUUUUACAUUUAGGUCUAUUACUCAUGUUGAUCCAAUUUGAGUUAAUUUCUGUAUAUGGUAUGAGGUAUUAAGAGAGUUCAUUUUUUACAUGAAUAUUCAAUAACUAUAGCACUAUUCAUUCAAAAGAUUAUCCUGUGUGCACUGAAUUGCUUUAUAAAAACUCAGUUGUUCAUAUAUUUAUAUGUCUGUUUCUAGACUCUUAGUUGUUUCAUUUAUCUGUCUGUCUUUACACAAGUGCCACACUCUAUGAUUAAUGUAGUUUUAUAAUAAGCCUUGAACCUAGGUAGCAUUAUUCCUGUAACUUUAUUUUUCAAAGUUGUUAUGACUCUUUAUAUAAGCUUUAUAAAUGGCUUUUUGAAUUUCCAUAUGAAUUUUGAAAGUGGUCUGUCAUUUCUAUUAAAAAGAAGACAAAAACCCCUGGGAAUUUUAUUAAGAUUGCAUUAAAUCUAUAGGUCAAUUUAAGAAGAAUUGACAUUUUAAAACUAUUAAGAUUUCUAAUUCAUGCACAUAGUAUCUCUUUGCUUAUCUAAGACAUAAUUUUUUCAACGUUUUGUAGUUUUCAGUGUAUUAGUCCUUUACAUGUUUCCAGAAAUUUUUCCUGUUUCACUUAUUUCUAGUUUCUAAAGGUAGAAGUUGAGAUAAUUGAUUUCAGAUCUUAUUUCUUUUCUAAUGCAGAUCUUUCACACUAUAAAUUACUGAUUUAGUGGCAUGCAUAAAUUUCAGUAUGCUGCAUUUUUAUUUUUAUUUAAAAAUUAUUUGUAAUUUAUUUUUUAUUCUUCCUUUGACUCCCUCACCGUUCAGUUUUUAGAAGUACUUUAGCUAGUUCUCUCUCUCUCAAUUUUAUUUAAUUUCAUUGUGAUCAAAAAAUAUACUUUGAAUAACAAAUUUUUUUAAGUUUAUAAAGAUUUAUUUUCUGGUUAAGAAUAUAGUCUAUUUUGGUGACUAAUUCAUGAGCCCCUGAAAAUAAGGCAUAUUUUCAGUUUUAAAUAAAGUGCUAAAUGCCAGUUAUGUCAAUUUGGUCUCCUAAAUGCCAAUUAUGUCAAUUUGGUUUAUGAUAUUGUUUGGCUGUUCUCUCAUGUAUCUUUAUUGACUCUCUAUCUACUUAUCAAUUAUUGACACAGGAGUAUUUAAAUUGCCAACUAUAAUUAUGGAUUUAUCAAUUUCUCCUUCCAGUUCUAUCAGUUUAUACUUUAUGUAUUUUGAAAUUUUGUUGAAUUCUAGGUGGUAAAGCCCAUUAUCACUCAAAUUACGAUCAAAUGACCCAGUUUCUUGGGAAUGCUAACAUUCUUGAAUUUACAUUUUCUAUUGCUAUGCCUCCAAAUUAAUCGCCCCAUAUAAAGAGAUGCUUAGGCUGAGAGUAUGCCCAGGAUGGAAAGAGGAGACAAACACACGAAGUACCCAAUAGCAUUGUCUUCAAAGGACAGGCUCUGAUAGCCGCUGGAGGUGGCAUUGAAGAUUUAAUUUGGAAAGAUGUCAAGAAAACAAAGGAUUUCUCUCUGACCUCCUUUCCCCAAUGGAAAAGAUGAUAUCACUUCGAAGUUUCUUCUAAAACAAAGAAUAACUUUUCAAAAGUUUCCUUUGAAAUUGGAGUCAGUAAAGCUGAACAAAAAUAUCAUAAACACACCUAAUCUUUGUCCACUUCCCAAGCCUGUCCCAAUUUCUGAUGAAUGCUACACUCAGAACCAUUUCUCAUAUAAAGAGAACAUUUGCUAUUUAUUGGAAAAAGUUCCAUUUUUUUGACAAUGUACUGUAAUUCCUUGGGAGUAGGCUCCUAAAUUGUCAAUCUUGGCAUAUGAAAAAUUCAAACGAAUUAACAAUAAAAUUGUUAUAUUAGUCUGUUCUCACACUGCUGUGAAGAAACAUCAGAGACUGGGUAACUUAGAAAGGAAAGAGGUUUACAUGACUCACAGUUCUGCGUUGCUGGGGAGGCCUCAGAAACUUACAAUAAUGGCAGAAGGCAAAACAGAAGCAGGCACCUUACUCACAGUGCAGCAGGAUGGAAUAAGUGCAAGCAAGGGAUACGCUGGAUGCUUAUAAAACCAUCAGAUCUCCUGAGAACUCACUCACUAUCAUGAGAACAGCAUGGGGGAACCGCCACCAUCAUCCAAUUACCUCCACCUGUUCCCGCCCUUGACACAUGGAGAUUAUGGGGAUUACAAAUCAAGGUAAGAUUUGGGUGGGGACCCAAAGCCAAACAAUUAUAUAAACAAAGAAAUGGAAUUUUUCAGAUUAUUUUCUUCAAUUAAAUUAUAUAAAGUAUAUGAAGAGAAGAAUAUGCUAUAUCUUAUUUUCAGGAUAAGUCUACAAUAUUCAUUUUAUAAAUUAAAGAGUUAAUGUUUUCAUUCAAAUUGUCAUAACAAUCCAAAUAUAGGCUACCAAGAAAUAAACCUAAUAACAUAUAAGCAAGAGUUUAGCCAACACACACAGACACACACACACACACACAAAGACACACACACACACAUUAAUAAAACACAUGGAGGAAGAUGCAGAUUUGUGGAGAAACAUGCCAUGUUAAUAGUUGUUAAGAGAGAUACAGUAAUAAUAUUGAUAUCACCAAAUUGAUUUGUAUAUUAAGCAUAAUUUCAAUAAUUCCAGUAUAUAUGGAAGAACAAAUAACCAGGGAGAAUCAUGACAACGUAAAGAAUAAGAUUUCAGAAGGGAGACUUGCCCCAUAGGAUUUAUUCAUGUCCAUUACACAGAUCAAUCCCAAAUGGAUAAAUAAUAUAAUUAUAAAAUGAUUUCUAGGAGAAUGUCAAAGUAUCUUUAGGGGAGAG